Molecule: transfer RNA, 64 nt
Filed under: Duttaphrynus melanostictus (Asian common toad)
Lineage: Eukaryota; Metazoa; Chordata; Amphibia; Anura; Bufonidae
Description: transfer RNA-Cys
Source: RNAcentral
AGCCCUGGGGUGUCACAUGCCAGAUUGCAAACCUGGAGAAGCAGAAGAAGUUCUGCCGGGGCUU